Molecule: ribosomal RNA, 595 nt
Filed under: Acinetobacter baumannii
Lineage: Bacteria; Pseudomonadati; Pseudomonadota; Gammaproteobacteria; Moraxellales; Moraxellaceae
Description: partial 23S ribosomal RNA
Rfam family: Bacterial large subunit ribosomal RNA
Source: RNAcentral
CGAAUGCUGACGUGAGUAACGACAAAACGGGUGAAAAACCCGUUCGCCGAAAGACCAAGGGUUCCAGUCCAACGUUAAUCGGGGCUGGGUGAGUCGACCCCUAAGGCGAGGCCGAAAGGCGUAGUCGAUGGGAAAAUGGUUAAUAUUCCAUUACUUCUGUGUAAUGCGAUGAGAGGACGGAGAAGGCUAAAUCAGCCUGGCGUUGGUUGUCCAGGUGAAAGGAUGUAGGCAUGUAUCUUAGGCAAAUCCGGGGUACUCUAUGCUGAGAUCUGAUAGCAAGCUGUACUUGUACAGCGAAGUGGUUGAUGCCAUGCUUCCAGGAAAAGUCUCUAAGCUUCAGUUACACAGGAAUCGUACCCGAAACCGACACAGGUGGUCAGGUCGAGUAGACCAAGGCGCUUGAGAGAACUCUGCUGAAGGAACUAGGCAAAAUGGUACCGUAACUUCGGGAGAAGGUACGCUGUUGUUGGUGAUGGAACUCGCUUCCUGAGCUGACGACAGCCGCAGAAACCAGGCCGCUGCAACUGUUUAUUAAAAACAUAGCACUCUGCAAACACGAAAGUGGACGUAUAGGGUGUGAUGCCUGCCCGGUGCU